AAUAUUUACAACUCAGCCUGUAUUCAUUAACGUUCAUUUAUAUAUAUAUAUAUAUAUAUAUAUAUAUAUAAAUGAACGUUAAUGAAUACAGGCUGAGUUGUAAAUAUU
This is a non-coding RNA of Cinara cedri, 108 nucleotides long. The record is from the annotation of a GenBank genome assembly. Lineage: Eukaryota; Metazoa; Arthropoda; Insecta; Hemiptera; Aphididae.